GGUUGUUCGUCUCUGUGUGUUUGCGCUGCGAUGGACUGGUGACCUGUCCAAGCUGCUGAGGUUCAAAUUGAGCAUCAGACUGAGAGGGGAAAAAAAGGUGGAUUUAAAGGAGACUGACCAGACUGGAGGUACAUGAUUGAAAGGCAGCAGUAACUCAAAUAACCACUUGUUAUAUCCAAUAAUGUCAAACCUUGAAGCAGAUGGACUGCAGAUGGACUGCAGCAGAAGACAACCUGUGUACCUAAUAAUGUGGCUGAUAUCACACUCAGCUUUUGUCCUGCCCGCUGAAACAUCACUGGAUACAGCGAAAAACAUGUCUG
Long non-coding RNA from Solea senegalensis (Senegalese sole), 320 nucleotides. RefSeq lists it as uncharacterized. NCBI's taxonomy places the organism in Eukaryota, Metazoa, Chordata, Actinopteri, Pleuronectiformes, Soleidae. The transcript is spliced from 3 exons. The record is from RefSeq and is a predicted model, not a curated record.